AUUGAACGCUGGCGGCAGGCCUAACACAUGCAAGUCGAACGGUAACAGGAAGAAGCUUGCUUCUUUGCUGACGAGUGGCGGACGGGUGAGUAAUGUCUGGGAAACUGCCUGAUGGAGGGGGAUAACUACUGGAAACGGUAGCUAAUACCGCAUAACGUCGCAAGACCAAAGAGGGGGACCUUCGGGCCUCUUGCCAUCGGAUGUGCCCAGAUGGGGUUAGCUUGUUGGUGGGGUAACGGCUCACCAAGGCGACGAUCCCUAGCUGGUCUGAGAGGAUGACCAGCCACACUGGAACUGAGACACGGUCCAGACUCCUACGGGAGGCAGCAGUGGGGAAUAUUGCACAAUGGGCGCAAGCCUGAUGCAGCCAUGCCGCGUGUAUGAAGAAGGCCUUCGGGUUGUAAAGUACUUUCAGCGGGGAGGAAGGGAGUAAAGUUAAUACCUUUGCUCAUUGACGUUACCCGCAGAAGAAGCACCGGCUAACUCCGUG
Molecule: ribosomal RNA, 490 nt
Filed under: uncultured bacterium
Lineage: Bacteria
Description: partial 16S ribosomal RNA
Rfam family: Bacterial small subunit ribosomal RNA
Source: RNAcentral